CGCUAUUUGGUUUAGGCGACAGAAACCGUCGCUAAUGGUGUUCUUCACCAACCCAGAUUUCAUAAGGCAGUGAUCGAGAGGGCUACUUUGACCGAGUAUAACUCUCUCAUCCGAACGAAUUUGGACAAUCUAUAAAUUGAGUCUUGUAGUGCUCAUGUAAGACUAUAAUUACCAACAAAAAUCAUGGCUUAACAACAUCAGAGCUGGGAGAUAUUGGCCAUUAAAAUAGCUGUCAUAGCUGUUCUUCACGAAGAACAGUUCGAGGUGCCUACUUUGGACCUCUAUAACUUGCAAUCCAUGUAAUGUUUGUGUGAUCUAUCAAUUCCAGUGUGUAGAACUCAUGUAGGACUACAACUAUAACACAUAAUAUAUAUAUAACAACAACAUAUCUAACUGGAAAUAUCCGGUCAAAGUUCACCAUGAAAAUUGUUCAUAAAAUUCUGGGUUCGUGUUCUUGAGCAGUUUCGGUCAACGGGUUUUGACCAUGAAUAACUCUUGAUAUAUAACAGAUAUGAACUUGAUUCUUUUUGUACCUUAAAGAGCAUAUUACAUACUACAUAUAACAACUUACAAAAACCAAAAAGACUAAAUAAUCCCAGAGAUAUAAGGCCUAACAUUUGCCUAAAAAUAACAGAUUUCGGUUUUUUUUAAAGUUGGAAAAACUUUGAUUUUGAGCACUUUGAUGUUAUGGGUCAUGAAUCUAACAACCCAGAACAUUAAUACACUCCUUUUUACACAUAUUUAACAAAUCAAUUUCAACAAUUAACAUCAAAUCAAAGGAUUUCUAGGAUUAGAGUUUUAUACCUUUCUUGAUCCAAUACUUGAUCUUAUGUUACUGAUUUGUUAUGGGACUUCGUGGGGCUUGAUAAUGGGUCUAGAAUACUACUAUAUUUCGUGGGUUUGAGAGAAAAAUGAGAGUUGGU
RNAcentral lists this long non-coding RNA (923 nucleotides) under Panax ginseng (ginseng). RNAcentral describes it as "long non-coding RNA (PGIN_LNC001845)". The record is from RNAcentral. Lineage: Eukaryota; Viridiplantae; Streptophyta; Magnoliopsida; Apiales; Araliaceae.